This 2357-nucleotide long non-coding RNA is filed under the name Triticum aestivum (bread wheat). RNAcentral describes it as "long non-coding RNA (TAES_LNC021589)". The record is from RNAcentral. Lineage: Eukaryota; Viridiplantae; Streptophyta; Magnoliopsida; Poales; Poaceae.
GGGGAUUUUGAUUCUAGGUAGACUCUUCCUAGACUCGUACUCUGAAUUUAUCUCAGUGUCUCUUUUCACUUUCAUGGCUCUUUCAAAAUGAUGAAAAAGCGGUUGAUAUCUAAAUCUGACUUGAGAUGAUUCUUGAGGUCAUUGUUCAAACUUUCACUCAGUUGUGUGCUUCGCAUUCCCAAAGUGAAAGCAUCUCUCAUAAAACAUUCUGCCCACUUCUCCUUUACCUUAUAAAUACUAUCCAUCCAAGUUUGCUUUUUCACCUUGCUUCUCAUAACAUUAAAAGCAUCUUCAAAUGUUUCUCGGUCUUCGUAUUCAAACAUACAAGCACUGAAAUCUUUGAGAAGAGAUGAUUCAUUUUCCUCAUUAUCUCCCUCAUCCGCAUCGUCUUCGUUGUCUUCACUAUUCUCUUUGCUGGGUAGGUGCUUGAUAGCAUUUUGCAUAAUGUGCAAAGUGCACAGCCCAUGUAUUGAUUCUGAAAAAACAUGCCCAAUUGCCUUCCCCAUAGCACUAUCUUGGUCAGUAAAUAUGGUGCGUGGCUGCUUCUGGUUAUGUAUCGACAAGAAGGCAUGAAAUAGCCAUUUGAAAGAUUCGAAUGUCUCGUCAUAGAGAAGUGAAGCACCAAAUACUACUGUUUCUCUGAAUUGAUUGAAUCCAACAAACACACCAAAUGGCCUGUACUCUUUAUUUGUCCCAAAAGUAGUGUCAAAGGUCAUAACAUCACCAAAAUGAGCAUAAUCUAUGAUCAUUUUGGCAUCAGCCCAGAAUAUAUUUGUUAUUUGUUCCUCACUGUCCAACUGUACACAAAUUGAAAGGAAGGAUUCUCAAUGGCUUUGUCUUGAAAAUACUUCAACAUACGUCCAGCCUCACCAUACUUCAAUUCUCUUUGGCGCUUUGUUCGCAAGUGGUUCUUGUGAUCUACGCGUGUAUAAGUUAAACCAGCUGAACCACCAACACGUCGACUAGCAAAUUCAUGAGCAUUUUUUGGUGCAAUACCAGAGUCAUCAGCUAUUUCAAUUUCAAAAGCUUGCACUUUAGAGAUCCUUCUUUGUGAUGGCAACAAGUGGCAUGCUUCUGGCAGCUGAAGCAUGUGAUUAUGUUCAAGACAAAGAUCAUAUAUUUCAUAAUUUCCGACUUCACGGUCUAUUGUAAGAGACAUACGGACCUCACAAUCAGUUCUAAUUUCAGCUCGGCCUGUCUUAGUUAGGUUAUCUCUUUUAUCUGCAGACUUCUUCCCCUCUUUGAAACAUACAUAUCUGCAUGAAGUCACUACACCAUCAAAUUUACUCCGAGUUGUAAACCUCUUUCUAACACUGAAUCCCAUUCUUCCUCCAUAGUACCUCCAAAAGUCCCAUGCCUCAUCCAAAUUAUCGAAUUUCAUGCCAAGUUGAGGUUUCCAGCUAGGUGUGACAUUUGCCCUAUAAAAUAAACAAGUAAAGAUUAUUCUAACUAAUCCAUACAAAAGAAAGAGGAGAGGUGCAGAUUUGUUUCAUGAUAUACUUGCUACAUAGUGACACCAACAAGAACUGGUUUAACAUGUGCAACUCCUACUGAAAAGAUCCAUAAAAAGCAAAACUUACUUGUUUGGAUCUUGAUUCUCCAUUGAUCAGCCUCUAAAUUCUGACUUUGAUGUUGUAUUUGAUUAGGCCAGGUGCUUGUUGUCCUGAUACUCCAAAAGAGAAGAGGAAAAGAGCAUUUUGGAUGUGCUGAUGCUCCAAAAGAGAAGAGGAGAAAAGCAGUAUUGCUGUGCUGGGAGUGGCAGAUGCUCCAAAAGAGAAGAGGAAAAGAGAAAAAGUGAGGUGCAGUACAAACAGUGGAGGGGAAAGUGGAGAAGAAGUGGAGGGAAGCAACUCACGGGUGUGGUUUUGGCGCCAAGCUGGGUGACUUUUCCCUCCAAAAGAGAAGAAAGAGAAAGAGCAGGUCACGUGCAUGAGAAGGGAGAGGUGUUGUGUGUCCGUUUCCUGAAGGGAUGUCUAGCCCUGACUCCGCUCUGUAAUGUUAGAGGAUCCGGCUCCGUAAACACGUACGGUCAUUGCCAGGUGGAACCAUCGUAGGUGAAACCUGAUCUCAUUUCCACUCAAUUUUCAGAACAGAGAAUAAGCAGUCACCUGCUCUCAGCGUCUCAGAGCUUCUUAUCCGAGCACAGAGGUGUCUUCUAGAGGACAUGAAUUGAAAUGGUAAUCACAAAAGAGCAUGCGUUCAGAAACCAAAUAUAAAAGGUCAAACGAAAUACUCACACAGUACGAUUCAUGAUCAGCAGUAUCAAAAAGGGUUCAAGAAAGGAGCGUUUGCUUGAGACAGGGGCCCACUAGCUGGACACGAGAGCCCUACUGUUACUAGUAGAGAUAGAGAUUAAG